CUACGGGAGGCAGCAGUGGGGAAUAUUGGGCAAUGGGCGAAAGCCUGACCCAGCAACGCCGCGUGAAGGAUGAAGGCCCUCGGGUUGUAAACUUCUUUGAUGAGGGAAGAUAAUGACGGUACCUCAAGAACAAGCCACGGCUAACUACGUGCCAGCAGCCGCGGUAAUACGUAGGUGGCAAGCGUUGUCCGGAUUUACUGGGUGUAAAGGGCGUGUAGGCGGGAUGGCAAGUCAGAUGUGAAAUCCCGAGGCUUAACCUCGGAGCUGCAUCUGAAACUGCCAUUCUUGAGUGUCGGAGAGGAAAGUGGAAUUCCUAGUGUAGCGGUGAAAUGCGUAGAGAUUAGGAGGAACACCAGUGGCGAAGGCGGCUUUCUGGACGAUAACUGACGCUGAGGCGCGAAAGCGUGGGGAGCAAACAGGAUUAGAUACCCCUGUAGUC
RNAcentral lists this ribosomal RNA (439 nucleotides) under uncultured bacterium. RNAcentral's name for it is "partial 16S ribosomal RNA". It matches the Rfam family "Bacterial small subunit ribosomal RNA", at positions 339 to 795 of the family's 1533-position model. The record is from RNAcentral.